AACGAGGCCGACCUGCGGCUGAGUUACCUGCGGAGGGAUCAUUACACAACAAAAUAUGAAGGUCUGGCUUCGCGGCCGGCUGAAGUAUUUUUUUUCACCCAUGUCUUUUGCGCACUUGUUGUUUCCUGGGCGGGUUCGCCCGCCACCAGGACCAAACCAUAAACCUUUUUUUUAUGUAGUUGCAAUCAGCGUCAGUAAAAACAAUGUAAUUAUUACAACUUUUAACAACGGAUCUCAGAU
This 240-nucleotide unclassified non-coding RNA is filed under the name soil metagenome. RNAcentral describes it as "partial contains 5.8S ribosomal RNA, internal transcribed spacer 2, and large subunit ribosomal RNA". The record is from RNAcentral.